AGUAAAACAAUGCAAAUAACAAAUGAAGAUCUCCAUUUAUGUUGAUUAGUUUUCCAAAUCUUGAAGUAUUAUUUAAUUUUGAGAUAUUAUUAUGCCUCCUAGUUUGUCAACGUUUUUAAAGACUCUACUAAAAUGCAUAGGAGGAGAAUGUUAUCCAUUAUUAAUAUAUGCAAGUUUAAUUACAUAUGUUAUUGUAUCUAUAAAUGGAUACAUAGAAAGGACACAUGUGACUCCCU
This 236-nucleotide long non-coding RNA is filed under the name Carica papaya (papaya). RNAcentral's name for it is "long non-coding RNA (CPAP_LNC014761)". The record is from RNAcentral. Lineage: Eukaryota; Viridiplantae; Streptophyta; Magnoliopsida; Brassicales; Caricaceae.